This is a long non-coding RNA of Cyprinus carpio (common carp), 254 nucleotides long. RefSeq lists it as uncharacterized. The transcript is spliced from 4 exons. NCBI's taxonomy places the organism in Eukaryota, Metazoa, Chordata, Actinopteri, Cypriniformes, Cyprinidae. The record is from RefSeq and is a predicted model, not a curated record.
AAAAGAUCAGGCUCACAUGUAUCAUUUAGUGAGGAAACAUCAUCACGAACCAGAAGCCAGAAACAAUUUUCAAUGAACACAAGUGUAAGAUCAGGCUCACAUGUAUCCAGCUCUGUGUCAGUGAAGAGUGACCAUUCAAAAGGAGAUGGACCGAACUUCCAGGAGGAAACACCACGUAACAAAAGUGUAAGAUCAGGUUCACAUGUGUCCAGUUCUGUUUCUGUGAAGAGUGACCAUUCAAAAGGUGAUGGACC